CAGUAGCCGCGGUAAUACGUAGGGUGCGAGCGUUAAUCGGAAUUACUGGGCGUAAAGCGUGCGCAGGCGGUUGUGUAAGACAGGUGUGAAAUCCCCGGGCUUAACCUGGGAACUGCGCUUGUGACUGCACAGCUAGAGUAUGGCAGAGGGGGGUGGAAUUCCACGUGUAGCAGUGAAAUGCGUAGAGAUGUGGAGGAACACCGAUGGCGAAGGCAGCCCCCUGGGCCAAUACUGACGCUCAUGCACGGAAGCGUGGGGAGCAAACAGGAUUAGAUACCCCAGUAGUCCCUGUCUCUUAUAC
This 301-nucleotide ribosomal RNA is filed under the name uncultured bacterium. RNAcentral describes it as "partial 16S ribosomal RNA". It matches the Rfam family "Bacterial small subunit ribosomal RNA", at positions 509 to 807 of the family's 1533-position model. The record is from RNAcentral.